GAGAGAGAGAGAGAGAGAGAAAGGGGGGGGGGAGGAAGAAAAAAGAAAGAAGAGAGAAAGAAAGAAAGCAGCAAAUAAAGAAAAGAAGAGCACAAGAUGAAGAAUUUCCAAGAUGAAGCAAAGCUCUGCUUUUAAACUAACCUGGAUAGUUCUAUGGGAGGGAACAUAAGGAAUACUUGGUGGUGCUAUAAUAGGCAUGUGAAUACAAGCAGGGAAUGGACUUCUGAGAGCCAGGAGGGGAGGUCCAGAGGAGAUUUUGUGUGUAAAAAGAAAUAAAUAAAAAUUGAUUAUAAAAAAGCUAAUUAAAUCUGCUUGUCU
Molecule: long non-coding RNA, 318 nt
Organism: Monodelphis domestica (gray short-tailed opossum)
Lineage: Eukaryota; Metazoa; Chordata; Mammalia; Didelphimorphia; Didelphidae
Source: RefSeq, a predicted model, not a curated record